AUGGGUGCCCAGGAGAUCAAGUACUUCUCGCAGGCGAAGCUUGGCCGGCGGUGGCGGCGGCCGGCGAGGGGGUUCCGGCUCAGCCCGACCCGCCUCUCCGUCCGCCGGCUACGCGCCAGGCUGUGGACCAUGCUCGGCCUGCUGGGCCGCUACUUUCGCGGCGUACGCCUGCCGCAGCUUACCAGGGGGCUCGUCGCCAGCAGCAGCUCUCCCGCGUCAACGAGCGGCGGCGGCGGCAACAAGAAAGGGCAGCCGCCAGCAGCGUCACCGGCGGCCGGUGGCAACGUUGCCAAGCCGCGGAGGCCGCCGUGCAUGCGGUCGAAUUCCUUCUACGCGCGCGCCGUUGCGGACUGCCUCGACUUUAUCAAGGGCAGCAACGCCGCCCCGGUCGAGGACAACCGCGGCGCCGCUGCCGGUGCCGUCCGGCACGGCCAUGGCCAGCAGCAUCACGUGCUGAAGGCCACGUGA
RNAcentral lists this ribosomal RNA (468 nucleotides) under Triticum aestivum (bread wheat). Its description in RNAcentral is "partial small subunit ribosomal RNA". The record is from RNAcentral. Lineage: Eukaryota; Viridiplantae; Streptophyta; Magnoliopsida; Poales; Poaceae.